RNAcentral lists this ribosomal RNA (468 nucleotides) under uncultured bacterium. Its description in RNAcentral is "partial 16S ribosomal RNA". It matches the Rfam family "Bacterial small subunit ribosomal RNA", at positions 28 to 507 of the family's 1533-position model. The record is from RNAcentral.
GACGAACGCUGGCGGCGUGCUUAACACAUGCAAGUCGAACGGAAAGGCCCUGCUUUUGUGGGGUGCUCGAGUGGCGAACGGGUGAGUAACACGUGAGUAACCUGCCCUUGACUUUGGGAUAACUUCAGGAAACUGGGGCUAAUACCGGAUAGGAGCUCCUGCUGCAUGGUGGGGGUUGGAAAGUUUCGGCGGUUGGGGAUGGACUCGCGGCUUAUCAGCUUGUUGGUGGGGUAGUGGCUUACCAAGGCUGUGACGGGUAGCCGGCCUGAGAGGGUGACCGGCCACAUUGGGACUGAGAUACGGACCAGACUCCUACGGGAGGCAGCAGUGGGGAAUAUUGCACAAUGGGCGGAAGCCUGAUGCAGCAACGCCGCGUGCGGGAUGACGGCCUUCGGGUUGUAAACCGCUUUCGCCUGUGACGAAGCGUGAGUGACGGUAAUGUGUAAAGAAGCACCGGCUAACUACGUG